Non-coding RNA from Lemur catta (Ring-tailed lemur), 1006 nucleotides. The record is from the annotation of a RefSeq genome assembly. Lineage: Eukaryota; Metazoa; Chordata; Mammalia; Primates; Lemuridae.
AUGCCCCAAGCAACAAGGCAAAGAGUCAUGAAGAGGCUACUGGGCACUCUGUUGGGACUUCUGAGUGCACAAGUUUGCUGUGUGAGAGGGAUAGAAGUGGAGCAGAGUCCUCCAGUCCUGAGUCUCCACGAGGGAGCCAGUUCCAUGCUGUGGUGCAAUUUUUCUGCUGCUCUGAGAACUUUGCAGUGGUUUCGCCAAAAUCCAGGGGGACGCCUCAUCAACCUGUUUUACAUUCCAUCAGGGACAAAGCAGAUUGGAAGAUUAACUGCCACAACAGUCACUAAAGAACGCCGCAGCUCAUUGUACAUUUCCUCUUCCCAGACCACAGACUCAGCCAUUUAUUUCUGUGCUGUGGAAGGUACCUCAGGGAGCUACAAAUACAUCUUUGGAGCAGGCACCAGGCUGAAUGUUUUACCAAAUGUUCCAGAGCUGGCCUCAGUCAGAAGUGCCUGGUUCCAGCGCCCUCAAAGUGUGGAUCAACAUGCUGCCCCCACCUGCCAUGUGGAUGGUGACAGCUUCCCUCAGCCCCGCCCACGGUGGCAACAGUCUCUCUGACUGCUUUUGCUUUGGUGCCAUAGACAUAAGCUGUUCCUACUUUGUCCAAAUGAGGUAUGUGAUUUUCAGAACCCUGGAGAAUUAUUAUCUAAAAUACCAGAGGAUAUGCUAGGAUUUUGGCCAUCAGUAUCCUGGGCCUGUGCAGGAAAACUCUUUCUUUAGAACAUUUAGAAAAAAUAUUCUUUAUUUAGUCAAUGUGGAAAUAGUCCUGAAAUCCAAACUGGUGCUAGGAUUCUGUGCCAGGUUAUUACUGUGACAAUUACUUAAUAUUCUCUGUGCUCACGAUAUCGCUCCUUCCAGAAGAUCUUUAGGGAAAACUUAGUUCAGUUUCUAGGAGGUUUUUGCUGAGCUGAAGAUCACUGUGUGAAUAAUAAUGCAGGCCGCAUGCUCACAUUUGGAGGGGGAACAAGGUUAAUGGUCAAACCCCGUGAGUAUCUCUACUGAAUCCAUA